UUUUCCUAACCAAGGACUGAAGAGCCUUGAUGAUGUCGAUACGGAACAAGCAAAGGAGAUCAUGGGGUACCAAAGAAACCCUAGUCUGAAAGACAUGAAGAAGAAGGAGUUUCCAGAAGAGUACAAAUUCCUUGCUGAAAUAGUAGGGAAAUGCAUACUGUUCAAGGACACUACACAUGACACGGUGCUUGAUCAGCAGUUGAAGAUAAU
Molecule: long non-coding RNA, 210 nt
Filed under: Panax ginseng (ginseng)
Lineage: Eukaryota; Viridiplantae; Streptophyta; Magnoliopsida; Apiales; Araliaceae
Description: long non-coding RNA (PGIN_LNC016364)
Source: RNAcentral